This 253-nucleotide ribosomal RNA is filed under the name uncultured bacterium. RNAcentral's name for it is "partial 16S ribosomal RNA". It matches the Rfam family "Bacterial small subunit ribosomal RNA", at positions 524 to 776 of the family's 1533-position model. The record is from RNAcentral.
GACAGAGGGGGCAAGCGUUGCUCGGAAUUACUGGGCGUAAAGGGCGCGUAGGCGGGCUGACAAGUCUGGGGUGAAAUGCCGCGGCUCAACCGUGGAACUGCCUCAGAUACUGUCGGCCUCGAGGGAGGUAGGGGCGUGCGGAACUGUAGGUGGAGCGGUGAAAUGCGUUGAUAUCUACAGGAACUCCGGUGGCGAAAGCGGCGCGCUGGACCUCUUCUGACGCUGAGGCGCGAAAGCUAGGGGAGCAAACGGG